RNAcentral lists this long non-coding RNA (712 nucleotides) under Gouania willdenowi (blunt-snouted clingfish). RNAcentral's name for it is "lncRNA (ENSGWIG00000017332.1)". The record is from RNAcentral. Lineage: Eukaryota; Metazoa; Chordata; Actinopteri; Blenniiformes; Gobiesocidae.
UUACUUUUAAGAAAUCUUUAUUAAAACUUACUCAUCCCACACAGUGCAUUUAUUACAUGAAUAAAUUGUGUAAAUAUUUGUAGUUUUACUUAAAAAAAAAUCAUGUUCUCCUAGAAUCUUUAUUACUAUGUAGAAAUUAUUAAAUACAAUUUAAUAUAAUUUACUAGCCCCAAGUUUGUUUUUUCAGUGUACUAUGUGUUUUUAUGUCUCUAUAUUGAUUUUGCAAUGUUAGAUUUUAGUACCACUAUUAAAUGUUGUCUCUCCUUUUCACCAUGUGUAAAGCAUAUUUAAUUGCAUUGUGUAUAAAAUGCGCCAAACAAAUACAUUUGCCUUGCUUUGCUAUAAUUACACGGAACUACAAAGCUGCUUUUUUUGAAGGCUCAACGUCGCCAAGUUGAACGCCUGCAGAAAUUACACAAACAUCACGAUGUAUGUGAAAGUCGUUAUGAAAAGGCAAGUGCAGAAUUGUUAGAGAUGGAGAGAGCGCAAACAGCGGUCUUCCAUCGUCGUCUGUUUUCAACGAUGCAAGAACAGACACAGAUAGAUGGAGAAAUGUUGGCAGAUAACAAGAAUGCAGAGAUAAUGGAACCCUUGAUGAAUACAGACAGCAUGAUGGUAAGUACAGCUCUACUUUAAGCUCACCUGGAUUUAGUUUUAGAUACUCUUCAGUAUUGGACAUUUGAUGAAGCACAACUGACUGAAAGAGGCCAUC